AGCUAAUAGAUACCCGGGUAGUCCACGCCCUAAACGAUGUCUACUAGUUGUUGGUGGAGUAAAACUCCAUGAGUAAACGCAGCUAAACGCGUGAAGUAGACCGCCUGGGGAGUACGGUCGCAAGAUUAAAAACCUCAAAGGAAUUGACGGGGGUCCCGCACAAGCGGUGGAUUAUGUGGAUUAAAUUCGAUGCAACGCGAAAAACCCUUACCUGGCCUUGACAUGCCACUAACCGAAGCAGAGAUGCAUUAGGUGCCCGUAAGGGAAACGUGGACACAGGUGCUGCAUGGCUGUCGUCAGCUCGUGUCGUGAGAUGUU
This 318-nucleotide ribosomal RNA is filed under the name uncultured bacterium. RNAcentral's name for it is "bacterial SSU rRNA". It matches the Rfam family "Bacterial small subunit ribosomal RNA", at positions 767 to 1076 of the family's 1533-position model. The record is from RNAcentral.